GUGAGGAAUAUUGGUCAAUGGGCGGGAGCCUGAACCAGCCAAGUCGCGUGAAGGAAGAAGGAUCUAUGGUUCGUAAACUUCUUUUGCAGGGGAAUAAAGUGCAGGACGUGUCCUGUUUUGUAUGUACCCUGAGAAUAAGGAUCGGCUAACUCCGUGCCAGCAGCCGCGGUAAUACGGAGGAUCCGAGCGUUAUCCGGAUUUAUUGGGUUUAAAGGGUGCGUAGGUGGUUUGAUAAGUCAGCGGUGAAAGGUUGCAGCUUAACUGUAAAAAUGCCGUUGAAACUGUCGGACUUGAGUGUAAAUGAGGUAGGCGGAAUGCGUGGUGUAGCGGUGAAAUGCAUAGAUAUCACGCAGAACUCCGAUUGCGAAGGCAGCUUACUAAGCUACAACUGACACUGAAGCACGAAAGCGUGGGGAUCAAACAGGAUUAGAUACCCGGGUAGUCC
Molecule: ribosomal RNA, 445 nt
Filed under: uncultured bacterium
Lineage: Bacteria
Description: partial 16S ribosomal RNA
Rfam family: Bacterial small subunit ribosomal RNA
Source: RNAcentral